Molecule: ribosomal RNA, 254 nt
Filed under: uncultured bacterium
Lineage: Bacteria
Description: partial 16S ribosomal RNA
Rfam family: Bacterial small subunit ribosomal RNA
Source: RNAcentral
UACGAAGGGGGCUAGCGUUGCUCGGAAUUACUGGGCGUAAAGGGCGCGUAGGCGGCCACCGCAAGUCGGUUGUGAAAUCUCUGGGCUUAACCCAGAAAGGUCAACCGAUACUGCGGGGCUAGAGUGCAGAAGGGGCAACUGGAAUUCUCGGUGUAGCGGUGAAAUGCGUAGAUAUCGAGAGGAACACCUGCGGCGAAGGCGGGUUGCUGGGCUGACACUGACGCUGAAGCGCGAAAGCUAGGGGAGCGAACGGG